AGAGUUUGAUCCUGGCUCAGAAUGAACGCUGGCGGCGUGCCUAACACAUGCAAGUCGGAUGUGCCCGCAAGGGUGCAUGGCAGACGGGUGAGUAACGCGUGGGGAACCUACCUCUUUGUGGGGAAUAACGCUCCGAAAGGAGUGGUAAUACCGCAUGAGACCGCGAUCUGGGAUGUUCGCGGUGAAACCUGGGGACCGAAAGGCCUGGGGCAAGGAGAGGGUCCUGCGUCUGAUUAGCUAGUUGGCGGGGUAAUGGCCCACCAAGGCGUCGAUCAGUAGCCGGCCUGAGAGGGUGAUCGGCCACACUGGAACUGAGACACGGUCCAGACUCCUACGGGAGGCAGCAGUGGGGAAUUUUGCGCAAUGGGCGAAAGCCUGACGCAGCAACGCCGCGUGGGUGAUGAAGGUCUUCGGAUCGUAAAACCCUGUCGUCAGGGACGAAGGUCGCCAAUUGAAUAGGUUGGUGGCUUGACGGUACCUGGAGAGGAAGCCCCGGCUAACUCUGUGCCAGCAGCCGCGGUAAUACAGAGGGGGCCAGCGUUAUACAGAAUUAUUGGGGCGUAACGGGCGCGUAGGCGGUUCGUUAAGUGAGAUGUGCACUACCCGGGCUCAACCUGGGAACUGC
Molecule: ribosomal RNA, 625 nt
Filed under: uncultured Acidobacteriota bacterium
Lineage: Bacteria; Pseudomonadati; Acidobacteriota
Description: bacterial SSU rRNA
Rfam family: Bacterial small subunit ribosomal RNA
Source: RNAcentral